AGGAAAGGCGAGGCUCUGCAUCUAGAUUUACCUCGUUCUCUUUUGUCUCCGCUUUUUUUUCACAUUUCCUUGCGACCCUGGCCCUUGAGCGACAAAAAGGGGAAGCCAAGGCUGGCCCGAGGAACGGAGAGGGCACAUGGCCUAGCCACAAGUGGAGCUUCUGCUCCGCCCGAAGGGAUGCGCUGGAGCGGCCUCUUCCUUCUGCCACGGUCUUUCUUUGCCAACUAGUAGAUUUGGACAUUUACAGUGUUCAGCCGUUGUUGUGGCAUUCCAAUUCAAUUGGGAAACAGCUUGAUGUAGCGUCCCCAUAAGGUCCACAGUAAUUAAAUUUUUUUUUUUUUUUUUUGGUGCGGUAGUGCAAUUUCAUGGCUCACUGCAACCUCCACCUCCCAGGUUCAAGCGAUCCUCCCAUCUCAGCCUCCCUAGUAGCUGGGAUUACAGGUGCACGCCACCACACCAGGCUAAUUUUUGUAUUUUUAGUAGAGAUGGGGUUUCACCAGGUUAGCCAGGCUGGUCUUGAACUCCAGACCUCAAGGGAUCCGCCUGCCUCAGCUUUCCAAAGUGCUGGGAUUACAGGUGGAGACUGGACCUCAGAAGAGGGAGUGGGUGCCCCGAGAACUCACAGCUAGCGGACAGUGGAAAGGGCAGGAGCCGGACCAAGGUGAGGACAGUGGAACUGAAGGCCGCUGGUUACCUCUCCUGCCCUCCGCUGGCCACAGUGGAGAAGACAGCCCCUCCCUCCUGCUCUGACCUGACAGUGUUCAUCCAUCGCCCUGUAUUAGCGAAGAACAACAUCAAGCUGGCUAGCAAGGAACUGUAUACAGGGUCCAGCUGGGUAUCACACUGGAUCUCACCCAAAGCUUAGAUGUGAUCCAGCUCAGUAUCACAAAGCAGAACGAAAAGGAUGUGUUUGGGCUGAGAGG
RNAcentral lists this long non-coding RNA (923 nucleotides) under Homo sapiens (human). Its description in RNAcentral is "non-protein coding lnc-ZSCAN10-3:37". Lineage: Eukaryota; Metazoa; Chordata; Mammalia; Primates; Hominidae. The record is from RNAcentral.